This 470-nucleotide ribosomal RNA is filed under the name uncultured bacterium. RNAcentral describes it as "SSU rRNA". It matches the Rfam family "Bacterial small subunit ribosomal RNA", at positions 27 to 518 of the family's 1533-position model. The record is from RNAcentral.
GGGAUAAACGCUGGCGGCGUGCCUAACACAUGCAAGUCGAACGCGCUUUCGGGCUUCGGUGCGAGAGCGAGUGGCGGACGGGUGAGUAACACAUGGGUACCUACCUUGGAGUGAGGGAUACCGGCGAGAAAUCGCCGACAAUACCGCAUAGGCUUCUUCACAAGGGAAGCAAAGUGACGCGAGUCACGCUUUGAGAUGGGCCUGUGGCCGAUUAGCUAGUUGGGGGGGUAACGGCUUCCCAAGGCGACGAUCGGUAGCUGGUCUGAGAGGACGAUCAGCCACACUGGGAUUGAGAACGGCCCAGACUCCUACGGGGGCAGCAGUGAGGAAUUUUCCGCAAUGGGGGCAACUCUGACGGAGCAACGCCGCGUGCAGGAGGAAGGUUUUCGGAUCGUAAACUGCUUUCCUCGGGGACGAGCAAGGACGGUACCCGAGGAAGAAGCCCCGGCUAACUACGUGCCAGCAGCCGC